UUGAACGCUGGCGGCAUGCCUUACACAUGCAAGUCGAACGGCAGCACGGGUGCUUGCACCUGGUGGCGAGUGGCGAACGGGUGAGUAAUACAUCGGAACAUGUCCUGUAGUGGGGGAUAGCCCGGCGAAAGCCGGAUUAAUACCGCAUACGAUCUACGGAUGAAAGCGGGGGACCUUCGGGCCUCGCGCUAUAGGGUUGGCCGAUGGCUGAUUAGCUAGUUGGUGGGGUAAAGGCCUACCAAGGCGACGAUCAGUAGCUGGUCUGAGAGGACGACCAGCCACACUGGGACUGAGACACGGCCCAGACUCCUACGGGAGGCAGCAGUGGGGAAUUUUGGACAAUGGGCGAAAGCCUGAUCCAGCAAUGCCGCGUGUGUGAAGAAGGCCUUCGGGUUGUAAAGCACUUUUGUCCGGAAAGAAAUCCUUGGCUCUAAUACAGUCGGGGGAUGACGGUACCGGAAGAAUAAGCACCGGCUAACUACGUGCCAGCAGCCGCGGUAAUACGUAGGGUGCGAGCGUUAAUCGGAAUUACUGGGCGUAAAGCGUGCGCAGGCGGUUUGCUAAGACCGAUGUGAAAUCUCCGGGCUCAACCUGGGAACUGCAUUGGUGACUGGCAGGCUAGAGUAUGGCAGAGGGGGGUAGAAUUCCACGUGUAGCAGUGAAAUGCGUAGAGAUGUGGGAGGAAUACCGAUGGCGAAAGCAGCCCCCUGGGCCAAUACUGACGCUCAUGCACGAAAGCGUGGGGGAGCAAACAGGAUUAGAUACCCUGGUAGUCCACGCCCUAAACGAUGUCAACUAGUUGUUGGGGAUUCAUUUCCUUUAGUAACGUAGCUAACGCGUGAAGUUGACCGCUGGGGAGUACGGUCGCAAGAUUAAAACUCAAAGGAAUUGACGGGGACCCGCACAAGCGGUGGAUGAUGUGGAUUAAUUCGAUGCAACGCGAAAAACCUUACCUACCCUUGACAUGGUCGGAAUCCCGCUGAGAGGUGGGAGUGCUCGAAAGAGAACCGGCGCACAGGUGCUGCAUGGCUGUCGUCAGCUCGUGUCGUGAGAUGUUGGGUUAAGUCCCGCAACGAGCGCAACCCUUGUCCUUAGUUGCUACGCAAGAGCACUCUAAGGAGACUGCCGGUGACAAACCGGAGGAAGGUGGGGAUGACGUCAAGUCCUCAUGGCCCUUAUGGGUAGGGCUUCACACGUCAUACAAUGGUCGGAACAGAGGGUUGCCAACCCGCGAGGGGGAGCUAAUCCCAGAAAACCGAUCGUAGUCCGGAUUGCACUCUGCAACUCGAGUGCAUGAAGCUGGAAUCGCUAGUAAUCGCGGAUCAGCAUGCCGCGGUGAAUACGUUCCCGGGUCUUGUACUCACCGCC
Molecule: ribosomal RNA, 1368 nt
Filed under: uncultured beta proteobacterium
Lineage: Bacteria; Pseudomonadati; Pseudomonadota; Betaproteobacteria
Description: bacterial SSU rRNA
Rfam family: Bacterial small subunit ribosomal RNA
Source: RNAcentral